UUUUCCACAUAAAUUGGGAAUUAGGGAUUUAGAAAAAGAACAUUACUCGAAGAGGUAUUGGGGUUGAGUUCAGAAUCGUCUUGAAAAAAAGAAGAGCAGAAGGGUUCCAGUCUUUCAGAUUGAAAUACUAAACAAGAAACGGACGCGCACCGCAACUCCACACAUCACCGCCGCGAGCCUCCACUCGUUCCUCUCUCGCGAAUACGAACGACCUCCCUCUUCUCAAUUUCCAAUGUCUCUGAAUCUCUACCGAGCCGCCAUUGAUGGCCUCAUCCAAGGUCGACUCGUUGAUUUUUGGCUGUAGUGGCAAAUGUUGUCUUGUGGUCGACACGAUGCCUCAAGCAUUUCUAGC
This 352-nucleotide long non-coding RNA is filed under the name Glycine max (soybean). RNAcentral describes it as "long non-coding RNA (GMAX_LNC002117)". Lineage: Eukaryota; Viridiplantae; Streptophyta; Magnoliopsida; Fabales; Fabaceae. The record is from RNAcentral.